AAUGGAAAGACCGGUACAAGCGAGGUAGGAGAAGAGUUGGCAAAUCCGCUCUUCAAUCUGAAGACGUGAUGUGGACUGAAAAUAAGUAGGGAAGCACGUGAGCUGACUGUCAAGAAAAGCCGCUAUUGUUUGCAGGAUACCCGUACCGUAAACCGACACAGGUGGAUGAGGAGAGAAUCCUAAGGCCGACGGGAGAAGCAUUGUUAAGGAACUCGGCAAAAUGACUCCGUAACUUCGGGAGAAGGAGUGCCAGUAAGAUGGCCGCAGAGAAUUGGCCCAAGCAACUGUUUAGCAAAAACACAGGUCUAUGCAAAACCGAAAGGUGAGGUAUAUGGGCUGACGCCUGCCCGGUGCUGGAAGGUUAAGGGGAGAGGUUAGCGCAAGCGAAGCUUUGAACUUAAGCCCCAGUAAACGGCGGCCGUAACGAUAACGGUCCUAAGGUAGCGAAAUUCCUUGUCGGGUAAGUUCCGACCCGCACGAAAGGCGUAAUGAUUUGGGCACUGUCUCAACAAUGCACCCGGUGAAAUUGAAAUACCAGUGAAGAUGCUGGUUACCUGCGCCAGGACGGAAAGACCCCAUGGAGCUUUACUCCAGCUUGAUACUGGGAUUCGGUAUUGCAUGUACAGGAUAGGUGGGAGGCUAGGAAAUGGUAACGCCAGUUGCCAUGGAGCCAAUGUUGGGAUACCACCCUUGCAGUACUGGGUUUCUAACCAGCAGCCGUGAUCCGGCUGGGGGACAAUGUCAGGUGGGGAGUUUGACUGGGGCGGUCGCCUCCGAAAGGGUAUCGGAGGCGCUCAAAGGCUCCCUCAGAAUGGUUGGAAACCAUUCGAAGAGUGCAAAGGCAGAAGGGAGCUUGACUGCGACACCGACGGGUGGAGCAGGUACGAAAGUAGGACUUAGUGAUCCGGUGGUAUAAAGUGGGAUUGCCAUCGCUCAACGGAUAAAAGCUACCCUGGGGAUAACAGGCUUAUCACUCCCAAGAGUUCACAUCGACGGAGUGGUUUGGCACCUCGAUGUCGGCUCAUCGCAUCCUGGGGCCGAAGUAGGUCCCAAGGGUUGGGCUGUUCGCCCAUUAAAGCGGUACGCGAGCUGGGUUCAGAACGUCGUGAGACAGUUCGGUCCCUAUCCGGCGUGGGCGUAAGAUAUUUGAGAGGAGCUGUCCUUAGUACGAGAGGACCGGGAUGGACUGGCCGCUGGUGUAUCUGUUGUCUUACCAAAGGCAUAGCAGAGUAGCCAAGCCGGGAAGGGAUAAACGCUGAAGGCAUCUAAGCGUGAAGCCCCCCUCAAGAUGAGAUAUCUCAUAACGUCAAGUUAGUAAGACCCCUUGAAGACGACGAGGUAGAUAGGGCAGAGGUGGAAGUGUGGUAACACAUGGAGCUGACUGUUACUAAUAGGUCGAGGGCAUAACC
This 1409-nucleotide ribosomal RNA is filed under the name metagenome. RNAcentral's name for it is "bacterial LSU rRNA". It matches the Rfam family "Bacterial large subunit ribosomal RNA", at positions 1497 to 2925 of the family's 2925-position model. The record is from RNAcentral.